Molecule: ribosomal RNA, 253 nt
Filed under: uncultured archaeon
Lineage: Archaea
Description: partial 16S ribosomal RNA
Rfam family: Archaeal small subunit ribosomal RNA
Source: RNAcentral
CACCAGCGCCACAAGUGGGGACCUGUAUUAUUGGGCCUAAAGCGUUCGUAGCCGGCUGAAUAAAUCUUCUGUGAAAUUGUCAGGCUUAACCUGACAGCGUGCAGGGGACACUGUUUAGCUUGAGACCGGGAGGUGUAAGAGGUAUUCUUGGGGUAGCGGUAAAAUGCAAUAAUCCCUUGAGGACCACCAGUGGCGGAGGCGUCUUACAAGAACGGGUCUGACGGUGAGGAACGAAAGCUAGGGGAGCGAUCCG